Molecule: long non-coding RNA, 6196 nt
Organism: Globicephala melas (long-finned pilot whale)
Lineage: Eukaryota; Metazoa; Chordata; Mammalia; Artiodactyla; Delphinidae
Source: RefSeq, a predicted model, not a curated record
GUUUCUACUGCGGCUGUGCGGCUCAGCGCGCGCUAAGCGCGCGGUCGGUUGUCUCGCGUCGGCGAUUCCGACCUUCAGUCAAGUUGUCUCGAGGUGGCUGUGCAGCCUACGCUCUCUGUACCCAGGCCUCUCACUGUUGUGGCCUCUCCCGUUGCGGAGCACAGGCUCCGGACGCGCAGGCUCAGCGGCCAUGGCUCACGGGCCCAGCCGCGCCGCGGCAUGUGGGAUCUUCCCGGACCGGGGCACGAACCCGUGUCCCCUGCAUUGGCAGGCGGACUCUCAACCACUGCGCCACCAGGGAAGCCUCCGAGGACAGGCACUGAGCUGGGGACUUGCCAAGGUGACCGCCUACCGGGAUUCACCGGGACAGACAAGCACAGCGAGGACAGCGUGUGCAGCAGCGCGUGGACCAGGGACCGUUUCAAGUGGAUGGAGAAGAACAGUCCACUUAAAGAAUACUGUCCAGGACAAUGGCCACUCCGUUCGGCAUUAGGUCCAAUAUUUAAAGCUAGUGCAGGGGAAGGUGGAAGCUUCUCAAGGGCAAGGACAGUGUCUCCAUGUGUGGUCAGUGUCUGCCACAAGGGCUCUGAGAUGAGCUCUCUCUGAUAUUGCAGAAUCUGCUGUAGGCUGAACUGCCCUGCAGGCACCCGCUCCUCUCUGCCAGAGCCUAAGGGGCUGCUCCUGAGCCUAACAGUCCUAAUGAGACACGGAGCUGGCACAGCCAAGGGCAGGAGCCUCCUGAGCAGGAGGCUGCCUAACGAGCUGUUGCCACAGCACUUAGACUCAUCAGGGGCCAUUACAGAGGCAGCCAGCACGUCUCCCGGGAAGAAUGUAGGAGGAAGAAGCCAAACAGACACCACAGCCAGUGCUGCGUCCAUAGGCGGUGCCACGAGCAAGGAGUUAGGGCCUGGGAGCCUCAGCAUGGAACGUCUUCACUCACCUCCUCAGCGGAUCACUGAGCUCUGCCUGAAACAGUGCAGAUGCUCGGUGCCGGCAGCCAGGGGGCAGGCCCUGUGAUCCCAGGCCCUUCCCCUCUGACCUCACAGUCUUCCCACAAUAGGGACCCAUGACACUUGAUGGAUGACGGAGAGCAUCCGCCAAAGGAGAAAUCUGUCUCUGCCUUUUUUAUUCUUGUAACUCUGAUAUUGGUUCUGACACUAUCAUUCCUUUGGGAAUUAGAUUCAGUAGAGUAGCCACUCAGCAUUCGGGUUGCUAUGGGACAUUUUCCUCUCUGAACUCAAAAAUAAACAGUCCCUGAAAACAACAGGAAGGUCUCAGGGAACUCAGCACUUUGAAAACAAAUAUCUAAUAAUAUAAAUGUAACAUUUUUAGUUAGAAAACUCUAUCAAAGUAAUUUGAACUGGUUGCUCUAAUAGAACUGAGUCGUCUAAAUAAACCACAGCUCUGUGAUGGGUGUGAUGGUGCCGAGGGCUGGAGGGGGCGCUUCUCCCCAGUCUCAGUCCAGAGGACUUAAAAAUCAGAAGUACGUACACCCAACUCACCCCUUGAGUAUCACUGGGAUUUGCAAAGUACAGAGACGUAGAGGAGCAUCAACAAAAGUCACCUAGGAUCCCAACACCAGAGAGAGCCAGUGACACACCUGGCAAAGGGGCAUCAGAAACAGCCUGUCCACAGGGGAGGAGGGCUGGCUCUGUCACACCUGCACUCGAAGGGGGGCUGAGGCCCUGCUUGAGGACAAGAGCUUUUCUUUUAUACAGAAGGGCCUUGGCUUCGUUCUUGCCUCACCCUGCAGCCCAUCACAAAGGUGAAGAGACCCAACCUGGGCGUGGACCUGAUCUUUCUCACCCUUGCUCCAUCUGCUCCUGACUUACCUAUUCAGAUAUAAAUUUACUAUGUUUACACCAAGAAGCCUAUGUUUUAAGUCCACAGAAAACAAGCAAAUAGUACAAAUCAUAAAGGACAUCAAAGCAUCUACUCACAGGGGAUUUGGAGCCCCUGCGGGGCUGUGUGGCUUUCCCCCUUUACCUUCAAAAACAAAUGGAGCCUGCCCUAAGCUGAGUUGGGCUGGGAAAGGUCAUCUACAAAUGGACUAGCAAAGAUGGCCCAAUACUGAAUAUCCAGGCCUCCCAAGCAGAAGAGAAGUUCCUUAAAAAGGAAUCUGCCCUGCCAUGUUUGACGGCUGGUCCCUGUACCAGUGAAUCCAGGCCAUGUCAACCUCCAAAGACGCCCCACUCCAUCAGGUUAAAAACCAAGGGACUUCCACUGGCCUCACAGCCCCAGGAUCUACCCCAUCCUCUCUCAUUUGCCCCCGUGUCCCCUGCACCUUGCCCAAGCUCACAGACACUCUUCCCUCGGCCUGGAUAUUUCAUCCACAGGCUCUGGGCCUGCCAGCCUCCCUGCCUCCACCCCUCCAGCACAUCACUGUGACCCCGAUGCUUUUGUCUGUCAUGGUGCUUCCUCACCUGAGGUGCUCCCCUUAGAUUAGGUCUAUGUCUGUCUGUCUCCCCCUCUAGCAUGAAAACGCUGGUAAGAGGGCAGGGCUUUUUGUCCUUUGCUCACUGCUGAUCCCCAGUGCCUAGAACAUUGCCCAACAUAGAACAGGUGUUGAAAAACAAAAACAAAAAAUGUGUGGAGUGAAUGGCUCUCCGGCAAGUCUCACAGGCACUUAAGUGGGGCAGGAGGAGAGCAGCUUAGCCUCUUAAGAUGUUUUAUCAACAAACGCACCUGUGGUAAGAAGAGUGAUAUUGGGAGGUGCCUCAGUUGGGUUACAAUGCUGAAAAAGGAAGAGUGUUCUGGAUUGAAAGAGGAUCCUGAAAUAAGCAGUUCUAGGUCCCCGUGGUCAGUCAAAGGUGGUUUCAAUUGUAUUUUUUUCUGCCAAGUUCCAGUAGCCAGUGAUAGGGACCAAUAUUGAAAUCAUUAUUUUAUGACUUGACUAUUUUCUUUAAUCAUGGCCUGACUCCUAACAAUACUUGAAUCUAACAGAUUCAUCUUAACGCAAUGACUACAAAUGAGAGAGAGAAAAUCAUAAUGUAGGGAGAGUGGGACAAAGCUGGAAGGCCAUUUGGAAAUUGUGCUAAAGCACUAGAGUCUGCAUUAGCUAUUUUUAAGUAAUAAACUAAGAAAACACUAAGACCCUUGAGUCUAUCAACCCAAUAAAAAUGAGAAAAAUAAGUUUUUUAAAAAAUAGAAUGAAAGAAGCCAAUGAAGUCAAGGAUGCUCCAUCCUACCUAGAGCCGCCAGGAAUUCGUGACAUCCCGGGAGCCGCCACAGCUGGACGCUGAUGGAGACCUGAAUGGGGGCUGAUGCGAAGUCCUGCUCCUUCUCGCCGGCCUGCAGCUGGACCAGCACCUGGUGGAGCUGAGCGGGGAGAGCGUCAGCGUCCGCUGCAUCUGGCCCCCAGGGGUUUGUCCCCAAGUUUCUCUUGUGUCACCUGUCAUUAUCAUCACUAAUGACCUUACACGUGGGUAGCAUCUGAAAUUCUCUUUACGGUGCCUCCAUGCCUACUGUCCUGCUGUCCUCUCUGUGGGAGCUCGAGGCCCAGGCCCCAGGCAGGGUUUCUGCUUCUAGCCUCUUCCCUCGCACACUGGCCACGGGGCUAUGAGUGCAGGAGGGGACUCGGGGCCUAGAGGAGGGGUGGGGUCUCCCAGACACAACCUGCUGAAUGUGUGAACUCCACCCGGGGCCUCGUGUGGGUUCACAGUGUGUUGCUCCUGCCCCUGCUGUUCUGAGGGAACUUGAAAGGUCAAAUCAAGAGCACAAGAAGGGUGGAGCAGGAAAGGGGAGCCAGAGCGGAGACGGGGCAGACCACCUGAGCCAGCGGCACUGCCCCCCCAGCCUGAGCGCGUGUUGGCGAGACAGCAGUGCCAGGGGGACCUCGGGGUGGGCGGGUUGAGGGGCUCACCUGACAACAGUGCUACUCAGAGUGGUACUCACCAUUCCAACCAUAUUUUUAACAGCCUUCGGCCAGCAGAUUAUAAGAAGAAGAAAGAAAAAGAGAGAAAGAAGAGAAUUUAGACUUAAGCACAGGUAGUUACGCAACACAAGCUGAUCACUGCUGUAGGAAGCACCACACCGGGCCCGCGGCUCUGACCCGGAGGGGAGAGGAGUGAGAGUCAGCAGGGACACACAGGAGAACGCACAGCCACGCCCAGGCCAGACAUGCGCUGGGGGUGGGGGUGGGGCCAGGGUCGGCCAGGCCCUGCCCUUCCUCGCCAGGAGAGGGGGAGGGGCACAGUGGGCGCGGAUAGGCCACUCUGUAGAGCAAAGUCCACUCUGGUUCCAGAGUGACUCGGAAAUGCCUACCAUCCCCCAGCCACUGGGGGCGGCCCAGGACGCUUCCCUGUGGAGGUCCCUGUGCUGCCACCAAAAGCUAGAAAUUAAGCUAUUGGCUGUUUGGAUGCUCAGCCUGGCCCUGUAAAUGUAACUCUAGCUUUCUCUUUUUGUAGAGCACAGGCUUGUAGCCCUCCUGGGUUCAGGAUGUUUAAGUGUCUUCCUGAUUCUAUUCAACAAGCAGGUCUAACACACUUACUACAAAGUAGCAGAAACUCAGUGAAGGGGCCAGAUGAGUGAGCUAUGUUCCAAAUCCAAGCUGGAAACCACCCCAGGUAGGGGGAGGCUCCAGGAACCAAUCAGAUAUGCAGAGGUUAACCCUAGAUGGAGCAGCUCUAUUUCCACAUAGAAACAGUUCCGCUCAAAUGAAAUCUGCUGAUAUCUAAUAAUGUGUAUUUUUCAAAUUAUUACACUGUAAGGUGACCAGAGAAAACUGCUCUGUGCUCUUUAGGGGUUGCUACACUGUCACCCCAGUGCUUGUUCCAGACCCUCACUGGCCAGUAGGAAGAUCAGAAGCUCUUAGGCCAAGUUGGGAAGGGCCUACAUGAUGCUAAGGGUUAGAAUCCUCCAAUUCUCUGAAUUAGAUCUACAUUCUCCUAAAAGAAAGCACUUUUUGAAAAGCUGCUAAGCAGUAUCUUUCAUGAGACUUGACUUUGUGUUCACCGCUGUGCCUCAGUGGUGGUUUUGUUUCAGGCAGGGGGUCAUACUUUGAUCUAAGAAUAAGUAUUGGAGCUCCUGUAGCCACCCUGACGGGAUGGCCCUACACCUGCUGGCUUGGGUAAGGUGGCUGCCACACUUGUCAAUCAGCAGAAACAGUUGGUGGUUAGGGAUGAUAAGGUGCAGGAGACCACUGAAUGGAGAGUUCAGGAAAUGCCCUGAGAUUACAGGUGACUGGGGCCCCUUAAGCAUCCUCUGAGGCCCUUGGGACUCAGUGCCCAGGGAGGACACUGGGAGAACUUGCUCCUCUGUGCCUGCACCUGCUGGAGAGGGCAGUUCUACUCCCAGCCCUUGCCUUUUCCUUCUCAUUACAAAAGCUGAAAAAAAGCAGUGAGGCAUCACGUGCAGGUUCCUAUUUGGGGCCAAAUCACUGUCUUUCCAACCCAGCACAGUCCUCAGACCUGGGCUCAGCUGUCCUGGCUCAACUCACCCGGCUGAUGAGCUGCUCGCCCGUCUCCGAGGCAGUGAUGAGCUUGCAGAGGGCUUGGAGGGCAGGGUUGGGCAGACCUAAAGCAAGGAGGAGGCAGGCGUUAUCCGGAGGGGCCUCUGCACCCACGGUCCUGCACCUUCCGAGGGGAAUGCACCCCAAACGCUCAGCUUUGGUGGCAUUUUCAGAAGCUCGGGACAGCCAGACGUGUGUAUCCGUGUCUGGCUUGUCUCUGAGAAGGGCAGAUGGAGGCAGGGCCAGUCCUGACCCUGCUGUGUCCUCCAGGCAUGUGGUCACAUGCCAGGACCCCAACUAGUCGCUUAGGCAGCAUCACCCGCUUCGAGUGAAACACAAAGGGCAGCCCUGAGCAUCUGUGCCCCGCGUCACCCUGGGGUCAGCCACACAGCUCUGUCAGAUCCGAAGCUGCUGAAUAAAUGUUAAUAGCAGCUACUGUUUGCCCAGCAAGACCUCACGUCACCCCAGGAAGGGGCAGAGGAUAUGUUGCCAUCAGAUGGAAACACUAGGUCAGGAGCACUCCUUUCCCCCAGAUCAGGAGGAGUCUGUGUCUGGGACUCCUCAGCACUUCUCAAGAGACCCUCGCUCCUCCCCACCUGAGACCCAGCAGGGACCGCGGCCACCCACUGCCCUGCUCAAGCUGUCAGCCAAGGCUCACCCAGCAGGGACUGGAUGGUGCUGCUGCACUGCUGGAGCCGGUCGCCCGGGUCGGAGGUUGGGAAGAAGACAGCUGCUGGCAGGCCACUG